CGGGGUGCAGCAGGCGCGAAAACUUUACAAUGCUGGCAACAGCGAUAAGGGGACCUCGAGUGCCAGGUUACAAAUCUGGCUGUCGUGAUGCCUAAAAAGCAUUGCAUAGCAAGGGCCGGGCAAGACCGGUGCCAGCCGCCGCGGUAACACCGGCGGCUCGAGUGGUAACCGUUAUUAUUGGGUCUAAAGGGUCUGUUGCCGGCCGGAUAAGUCUCUUGGGAAAUCCAGCAGCUCAACUGUUGGGCUUUCAGGAGAUACUGUCUGGCUCGAGGCCGGGAGAGGUGAGAGGUACUUCAGGGGUAGGGGUGAAAUCUUGUAAUCCUUGAAGGACCACCAGUGGCGAAGGCGUCUCACCAGAACGGACCUGACGGCAAGGGACGAAAGCUAGGGGCACGAACCGGAUUAGAUACCCGGGUAGUCCUAGCCGUAAACGAUACUCGCUAGGUGUCGGCCACGGUGCGACCGUUGUCGGUGCCGUAGGGAAGCCGUGAAGCGAGCCACCUGGGAAGUACGGCCGCAAGGCUGAAACUUAAAGGAAUUGGCGGGGGAGCA
Molecule: ribosomal RNA, 552 nt
Filed under: uncultured archaeon
Lineage: Archaea
Description: bacterial SSU rRNA
Rfam family: Archaeal small subunit ribosomal RNA
Source: RNAcentral